AUUUUCUCACCUCUGGGGAAACCACAAGGAGCUGGAGGAGCUGACAAGCACAAGUGUGGAACACAUCAUUGUCAAUCCUAAUGCUGCCUAUGACAAGUUCAAGGACAAGAGAGUGGGGACAAAGGGACUUGAUUUCUCAGAUCGUAUUGGAAAAACCAAGAGGACAGGAUAUGAAUCUGGAGAAUAUGAGAUGCUUGGAGAGGGUCUGGGAGUGAAGGAGACACCCCAGCAAAAGUACCAGCGCCUACUGCAUGAGGUCCAAGAGCUGACAACUGAAGUUGAAAAAAUCAAGACGACAGUGAAGGAGUCAGCCACAGAGGAGAAGCUGACCUCUGUGUUGCUGGCUAAACAGCUGGCAGCCCUGAAGCAGCAGCUGGUUGCUUCCCACCUGGAGAAGCUGCUGGGACCAGAUGCUGCAAUCAACCUUACCGACCCCGAUGGCGCCCUGGCUAAGCGCCUACUACUGCAGCUGGAAGCAACAAAGAACAGCAAAGGGGGAUCAGGGGGAAAAACCACUGGGACCCCCCCAGAUAGCAGCCUUG
This 542-nucleotide small RNA is filed under the name Pan troglodytes (chimpanzee). RNAcentral describes it as "processed transcript". Lineage: Eukaryota; Metazoa; Chordata; Mammalia; Primates; Hominidae. The record is from RNAcentral.